Molecule: long non-coding RNA, 1221 nt
Organism: Ostrinia nubilalis (European corn borer)
Lineage: Eukaryota; Metazoa; Arthropoda; Insecta; Lepidoptera; Crambidae
Exons: 4
Source: RefSeq, a predicted model, not a curated record
CCUGACCAGAGGUGCGAUUGUGUAAAGUUGUUCAUGGAUGGACAAUGAAUACAAUUGAUCAUCGAUCGUAUAUCUAAAUUCGAAUUGUGUAAUUUUGUCCAUUCCAUGAAGACCGAAAAGUGACCGGUCGUAUAUAAUCGUUUCAUGGAUUUGCGUUUUAUUAAUGAAAAACAUUCGCUAAAACUCAUUAUUUUUUAACAAAUAACAAAUGAAAUCCAUGUUCAAAUGCAGUUUUUUUUAAUAACAUUUUAUGAUUGCACCUUAAUAACAUACUUUUAUUCAUAAAAACAUUGAAUUCGAAUUAAAAAUUUACCUCUGCAAAUCAUAUAACCAAACGCAUAGAACGAAUGAAAUACGAGUUCCACUACCCGCCCCCAGGUGGCAUACAUACUUUAAGGCUAGGCAGGCUAAGUUGAAUACUACUCUACAAUAGGUGGCGUUAAUGGACUACGAAAAACGACGUGAAAUGCUUACUUCUUUUUAUUUAUUUAUACUUUAAUGCCAAAAUUUUAACCUAAGGCGAACUUAAUCUCACAUUUAAUAAAUUAUACAUAAAUAAGUGUUUUGAGAAGUAGUAUUUUAAUCUAUGUUCUGUGAAUGACAAGUGUUAUCUGUCAAGUGUCAAAAAACUUGAAAAACUUUUACGAAGUUUUUGAAUUAUGUUAAAUUUGUUUAUAAACACAAUGCCAAAGGCAAGAAUAAUUGCCCACGCCAGAUGGAGACCCAGCUAAAUAAUGUAGUAACAGCGCGUGUUCGUGUGAUGAGGGUUCCUUGACUUGAGUUCUGGCGCAACACGUCCUGGGCACUAAACAAGAUUGGGGAUGGGACGUCUAAAUUGGUGCAAGCCUGGAAAACGCUCUCGUCUUGCUCUACAGCACUUGCACUUGUCCCACCAUCUACCAGUGUUGGAACUCUUCCAAUAAUUACCCACACCCAGGUGGAGAAUACUCCAGUUACUGCUACUGCUACUCUAAAAUAUCUCUCAUCUUGUUCUACAGCGCCUGCACCUGUCCUACCAUCUACCAGUGUUGGAACUCUUCGAAGUGUAUUAAUGAUUAUUAUUUUAGUAACCAUAAAAGUUUAAAACAAUACAUUUUAAUGCAUAAUUAUUUGUUAGAAAAAACGACAAGUACAAAUGAGUAGGGAGGCUGUUGAUUUUUCAUGGUUAUUUUAUAUCUUGUUGAUUGUUCCAAAAAAAAACUAAGUUUUCAAGAAUGCUGU